This 382-nucleotide long non-coding RNA is filed under the name Calidris pugnax (ruff). Its description in RNAcentral is "lncRNA (ENSCPUG00000010097.1)". Lineage: Eukaryota; Metazoa; Chordata; Aves; Charadriiformes; Scolopacidae. The record is from RNAcentral.
CAGACUAAAGAAGCUAGAAAGAAAGUAAUUCUACAGAAAAAAAAUACCAUUUCAUUUACUAAUCUCUUUUUGCAUUUUCUUUUUAAUCUGUACAGAAGUUGAUGAAGCACUAAACCAGUGCUAUUCAGAUUUUGUGGAGCACUGCUGGCUUCCUGCUUGCAUCGGCCUCAGAACGACAAGAAGAGAAGGGGAACCUGGUAACCAGGAGCCAAGUCAGUUGUGAAUUUCCAGUUCUCAGCUCUUCAGUUCCAGACAAGCGUGAGAGACAAGAAAGCAAAGCAGAUCGUCUUCCUGAGAUUAUAUUGAGGUUAUUGUCAAAAAUAACCACCAAGUUCCUAAAUGUGAAUAUGUAUCCUGGGGAGAACAAAGCAAGUUUCAGAGC